GAGUUUGAUCAUGGCUCAGAGUGAACGCUGGCGGCGUGCUUAACACAUGCAAGUCGAACGAGAAACGGUCUAGCUUGCUAGAUGCAGUCUAAGUGGCGCACGGGUGAGUAAUAUAUAGGUAAUAUGCCUCUUACUAAGGGAUAACAGAUUGAAACGUCUGCUAAUACCUUAUAUGCCUUUAGGACUAAAGUCCGCAAGGGAAAGAUUUAUCGGUAAGAGAUUAGCCUGUACAGUAUCAGUUAGUUGGUGAGGUAAUGGCUCACCAAGACUGUGACACUUAACUGGUUUGAGAGGAUGAUCAGUCACACCGGAACUGAGACACGGUCCAGACUCCUACGGGAGGCAGCAGUGGGGAAUAUUGCACAAUGGACGGAAGUCUGAUGCAGCAACGCCGCGUGGAGGAUGACACAUUUCGGUGCGUAAACUCCUUUUAUAUAGGAAGAUAAUGACGGUACUAUAUGAAUAAGCACCGGCUAACUCCGUGCCAGCAGCCGCGGUAAU
This 501-nucleotide ribosomal RNA is filed under the name uncultured Arcobacter sp. RNAcentral's name for it is "bacterial SSU rRNA". It matches the Rfam family "Bacterial small subunit ribosomal RNA", at positions 9 to 524 of the family's 1533-position model. The record is from RNAcentral. Lineage: Bacteria; Pseudomonadati; Campylobacterota; Epsilonproteobacteria; Campylobacterales; Arcobacteraceae.